RNAcentral lists this ribosomal RNA (115 nucleotides) under Gammaproteobacteria bacterium. Lineage: Bacteria; Pseudomonadati; Pseudomonadota; Gammaproteobacteria. The record is from RNAcentral.
CCUGGCGGCCAUAGCGCGUUGGUACCACCCGAUCCCAUACCGAACUCGGAAGUGAAACGACGUAGCGCCGAUAGUAGUGCGGGUUUACCCGUGCGAGCGUAGGUCACCGCCAGGG